GACGAACGCUGGCGGCGUGCUUAACACAUGCAAGUCGAACGAAGAGCGAUGGAAGCUUGCUUCUAUCAAUCUUAGUGGCGAACGGGUGAGUAACGCGUAAUCAACCUGCCCUUCAGAGGGGGACAACAGUUGGAAACGACUGCUAAUACCGCAUACGAUCUAAUCUCGGCAUCGAGGAUAGAUGAAAGGUGGCCUCUACAUGUAAGCUAUCACUGAAGGAGGGGAUUGCGUCUGAUUAGCUAGUUGGAGGGGUAACGGCCCACCAAGGCGAUGAUCAGUAGCCGGUCGGAGAGGAUGAGCGGCCACGUUGGGACUGAGACACGGCCCAGACUACUACGGGAGGCAGCAGUGGGGAAUCUUCCGCAAUGGACGAAAGUCUGACGGAGCAACGCCGCGUGAGUGAUGACGGCCUUCGGGUUGUAAAGCUCUGUUAAUCGGGACGAAAGGCCUUCUUGCGAAUAGUGAGAAGGAUUGACGGUACCGGAAUAGAAAGCCACGGCUAACUACGUG
RNAcentral lists this ribosomal RNA (510 nucleotides) under uncultured bacterium. RNAcentral's name for it is "partial 16S ribosomal RNA". It matches the Rfam family "Bacterial small subunit ribosomal RNA", at positions 28 to 507 of the family's 1533-position model. The record is from RNAcentral.